Molecule: ribosomal RNA, 449 nt
Filed under: uncultured bacterium
Lineage: Bacteria
Description: partial 16S ribosomal RNA
Rfam family: Bacterial small subunit ribosomal RNA
Source: RNAcentral
AGCGAACGCUGGCGGCAGGCCUAACACAUGCAAGUCGAACGAAGUCUUCGGACUUAGUGGCGGACGGGUGAGUAACACGUGGGAACGUGCCUUUAGGUUCGGAAUAACUUAGGGAAACUUGUGCUAAUACCGAAUGUGCCCUUCGGGGGAAAGAUUUAUCGCCUUUAGAGCGGCCCGCGUCUGAUUAGCUAGUUGGUGAGGUAAAGGCUCACCAAGGCGACGAUCAGUAGCUGGUCUGAGAGGAUGAUCAGCCACAUUGGGACUGAGACACAGCCCAAACUCCUACGGGAGGCAGCAGUGGGGAAUCUUGCGCAAUGGGCGAAAGCCUGACGCAGCCAUGCCGCGUGAAUGAUGUAGGUCUUAGGAUUGUAAAAUUCUUUCACCGGGGACGAUAAUGACGGUACCCGGAGAAGAAGCCCCGGCUAACUUCGUGCCAGCCGCCGCCGUAA